ACCUGUACGGUUGCAAUCCAUAAUCUCAGUUUUAUGCAAUUUAUUGCAAUAAAACUGAGAUUAUGGAUUAGCAACCUACUCAUGAAUGAGCAAAAAGCGGCUGCGUUAGCAGACGUAAGAGUGCGUUAGCACGGUUUUUGCGAAUGGAUGAGUCGGUUGGAGGCUCUUUAGAGUAUCCAACCGUACAGGU
RNAcentral lists this small RNA (190 nucleotides) under Lachnospiraceae bacterium M18-1. RNAcentral's name for it is "Clostridiales-1 RNA". The record is from Rfam by way of RNAcentral. Lineage: Bacteria; Bacillati; Bacillota; Clostridia; Lachnospirales; Lachnospiraceae.